GGGGGGGGGGGGGGGGGGGGGGGGGGGGGGGGGGGCGGGGGGGGGGGGGGGGGGCGGGGGGCGGGGGCGGGAGCGGGGGGCGGGUGGGUAGCCCGGGGGUAACCGGGCUGUACGCCUGGGCUACCUCCGGGAAGCCGGCGCUAAUGACGGCUAAUAUAUUGAACCGCAUGUUUCAAUAGUGAAAGACGUUUAUGCUGUCCCUUAUCGCUGGAUCCGCGCCGAAUUAGCUAGUUGGUAAGGUAACGGCUUACCAAGGCAACGAUGCGUAGCCGACCUGAGAGGGUGAUCGGCCACACUGGAACUGAGACACGGUCCAGACUCCUACGGGAGGCAGCAGUAGGGAAUCUUCCGCAAUGGGCGAAAGCCUGACGGAGCAACGCCGCGUGAGUGAUGAAGGUCUUCGGAUCGUAAAACUCUGUUAUUAGGGAAGAACAAAUGUGUAAGUAACUAUGCACGUCUUGACGGUACCUAAUCAGAAAGCCACGGCUAACUACGUG
RNAcentral lists this ribosomal RNA (497 nucleotides) under uncultured bacterium. RNAcentral's name for it is "partial 16S ribosomal RNA". The stretch from base 53 to 497 matches the Rfam family "Bacterial small subunit ribosomal RNA", at positions 38 to 507 of the family's 1533-position model. The record is from RNAcentral.